AAGUUUUUGACCUGGCUCAGAGCGAACGCUGGCGGCAGGCUUAACACAUGCAAGUCGAACGGGCGUAGCAAUACGUCAGUGGCAGACGGGUGAGUAACGCGUGGGAACGUACCUUUUGGUUCGGAACAACACAGGGAAACUUGUGCUAAUACCGGAUAAGCCCUUACGGGGAAAGAUUUAUCGCCGAAAGAUCGGCCCGCGUCUGAUUAGCUAGUUGGUGAGGUAAUGGCUCACCAAGGCGACGAUCAGUAGCUGGUCUGAGAGGAUGAUCANGCCACAUUGGGACUGAGACACGGCCCAAACUCCUACGGGAGGCAGCAGUGGGGAAUAUUGGACAAUGGGGGCAACCCUGAUCCAGCCAUGCCGCGUGAGUGAUGAAGGCCCUAGGGUUGUAAAGCUCUUUUGUGCGGGAAGAUAAUGACGGUACCGCAAGAAUAAGCCCCGGCUAAUUC
This 452-nucleotide ribosomal RNA is filed under the name Rhodopseudomonas palustris. RNAcentral describes it as "bacterial SSU rRNA". It matches the Rfam family "Bacterial small subunit ribosomal RNA", at positions 1 to 503 of the family's 1533-position model. The record is from RNAcentral. Lineage: Bacteria; Pseudomonadati; Pseudomonadota; Alphaproteobacteria; Hyphomicrobiales; Nitrobacteraceae.